GACGAACGCUGGCGGCGCGCCUAACACAUGCAAGUCGAACGAGAGAUGAGGAGCUUGCUCUUCAGAUCGAGUGGCGAACGGGUGAGUAACGCGUGAGGAACCUGCCUCAAAGAGGGGGACAACAGUUGGAAACGACUGCUAAUACCGCAUAAGCCCACGGCUCGGCAUCGAGCAGGGGGAAAAGAGCAAUCCGCUUUGAGAUGGCCUCGCGUCCGAUUAGCUAGUUGGUGAGGUAACAGCCCACCAAGGCGACGAUCGGUAGCCGGACUGAGAGGUUGAACGGCCACAUUGGGACUGAGACACGGCCCAGACUCCUACGGGAGGCAGCAGUGGGGAAUAUUGCACAAUGGGGGAAACCCUGAUGCAGCGACGCCGCGUGGAGGAAGAAGGUCUUCGGAUUGUAAACUCCUGUUGUUGAGGAAGAUAAUGACGGUACUCAACAAGGAAGUGACGGCUAACUACGUG
This 465-nucleotide ribosomal RNA is filed under the name uncultured bacterium. RNAcentral's name for it is "bacterial SSU rRNA". It matches the Rfam family "Bacterial small subunit ribosomal RNA", at positions 28 to 507 of the family's 1533-position model. The record is from RNAcentral.